AUGAUCACAUUAUUAACAAAGACUGGACAAACAACAUUCUGAGAAACUCUACUGGCGCAACCAGCAAGCCAUACACACGGUGAUCAGCCUCUGCAAUAGAAACACAUGGUGCCCGCAUGCCUCGGUUUGUACAUGAAAACAUAUGAAAUAUUAAAAAGCAGAGAAGCAAGAUCUGUAGUGUUCCCAUCAACCAUUGAAAGAUUCAAUUAGGAAUGAAUUAGUUACUUUUACACACAGCAAAGAAUGAAAGCUUAAAAAACCAUCAAAACAUAUUCAUUCAAAUCAGCAGCAAUGUGAAAUUACAACUACCAUCAUAUUUUUAGAAACAAAUCUUGCAAACAAAGUAGGAUAAUUACCACAAUCUUCUAGGAAUUCAUGGUCCCACCUAGCUAGUCUCAACAAACGCCAAAAGUUGGUGAUCCCAUAAAUGUAUUAAGUGAUUGUCUUAAAGUUUGGACCAGACUCACACAAUUAUCCCUGCAAAAAUUGGACAGACUGAAAUUACUAAUACUUUGUACUUGCACAAAACAGAAAGGUAUAUAGUCAGAAAGUAGUCAAGUAAAAAACCCUCUCCAUCCCAACUACUUCAUGGCAAUAUUAAAUGAGACAGAUUCCCUAGCCAAAUUUAUAAUGGUAAUACAUAGUUCAGAGAUUGAAUAAUAUCCCUAGUAGUAAACUGAACUAUAGAAGGUGCUACAGCUAGCCAUCUUUGCUGUAACAACACGAUGAUAUUCCUAAGAAACUAUCAUCUGCGUUGGUACUUUCUCAGGUUUAGGAUAUCCAUUCCUUACAUGGCAAUGCAACCCAACAUGAUAUCCUUUAUGCUUAUGGUUAAUACGAAAGAUUUAGUAAAA
RNAcentral lists this long non-coding RNA (854 nucleotides) under Triticum aestivum (bread wheat). Its description in RNAcentral is "long non-coding RNA (TAES_LNC012152)". Lineage: Eukaryota; Viridiplantae; Streptophyta; Magnoliopsida; Poales; Poaceae. The record is from RNAcentral.